UACGUAGGGUGCGAGCGUUAAUCGGAAUUACUGGGCGUAAAGGGUGCGCAGGUGGCAUGGCAAGUUUGAUGUGAAAGCUCAGGGCUCAACCCUGAAAUGGCAUUGAAUACUGCUGUGCUGGAGGUUUGGAGGGGGGACUGGAAUUCUUGGUGUAGCAGUGAAAUGCGUAGAUAUCAAGAGGAACACCAGUGGCGAAGGCGAGUCCCUGGACAACACCUGACACUGAGGCACGAAAGCUAGGGGAGCAAACAGG
RNAcentral lists this ribosomal RNA (253 nucleotides) under uncultured bacterium. RNAcentral describes it as "partial 16S ribosomal RNA". It matches the Rfam family "Bacterial small subunit ribosomal RNA", at positions 524 to 776 of the family's 1533-position model. The record is from RNAcentral.